RNAcentral lists this ribosomal RNA (463 nucleotides) under Anaplasma centrale. RNAcentral describes it as "bacterial SSU rRNA". It matches the Rfam family "Bacterial small subunit ribosomal RNA", at positions 12 to 503 of the family's 1533-position model. Lineage: Bacteria; Pseudomonadati; Pseudomonadota; Alphaproteobacteria; Rickettsiales; Anaplasmataceae. The record is from RNAcentral.
UUGGAUCCUGGUUCAGAACGAACGCUGGCGGCAAGCUUAACACAUGCAAGUCGAACGGACCAUACGCGCAGCUUGCUGCGUGUAUGGUUAGUGGCAGACGGGUGAGUAAUGCAUAGGAAUCUACCUAGUAGUAUAGGAUAGCCACUAGAAAUGGUGGGUAAUACUGUAUAAUCCCUGCGGGGGAAAGAUUUAUCGCUAUUAGAUGAGCCUAUGUCAGAUUAGCUAGUUGGUGGGGUAAUGGCCUACCAAGGCGGUGAUCUGUAGCUGGUCUGAGAGGAUGAUCAGCCACACUGGAACUGAGACACGGUCCAGACUCCUACGGGAGGCAGCAGUGGGGAAUAUUGGACAAUGGGCGCAAGCCUGAUCCAGCUAUGCCGCGUGAGUGAGGAAGGCCUUAGGGUUGUAAAACUCUUUCAGUAGGGAAGAUAAUGACGGUACCUACAGAAGAAGUCCCGGCAAACUC